This 517-nucleotide ribosomal RNA is filed under the name uncultured bacterium. Its description in RNAcentral is "bacterial SSU rRNA". It matches the Rfam family "Bacterial small subunit ribosomal RNA", at positions 21 to 518 of the family's 1533-position model. The record is from RNAcentral.
GGCUCAGGAUGAACGCUGGCGGCGUGCUUAACACAUGCAAGUCGAACGAAGCUCCUAAUCUUGCGUUUCGGACAAGAGAGAGGGAUGACUUAGUGGCGGACGGGUGAGUAAUGCGUGUGCAACCUGCCCUCAGAGGGGGACAACAGUUAGGAAACGACUGCUAAUACCGCAUAAUGUAUCGAGAAGGCAUCUUCAUGAUACCAAAGAUUUAUCGCUGAAGGAUGGGCUCACGUCUGAUUAGCUAGUUGGUGAGGUAAUGGCUCACCAAGGCUGCGAUCAGUAGCCGGACUGAGAGGUUGACCGGCCACAUUGGGACUGAGAUACGGCCCAGACUCCGUACGGGAGGCAGCAGGUGGGGAAUUAGUUGGGCAAGUGGGCGCAAGCCCUCGACCCAGCAACGCCGCGUAGGAAGGAAGGAAGGUCGUUUCGGGUUAGUUAAACUUUCUUUUGGCGAGGGAACGAAGAAAGUGACGGUACCUGCAGAAUAAGCUCCGGCUAACUACGUGCCAGCAGCGGC